AUUGAACGCUGGCGGCAGGCCUAACACAUGCAAGUCGAACGGUAACAGGAAGAAGCUUGCUUCUUUGCUGACGAGUGGCGGACGGGUGAGUAAUGUCUGGGAAACUGCCUGAUGGAGGGGGAUAACUACUGGAAACGGUAGCUAAUACCGCAUAACGUCGCAAGACCAAAGAGGGGGACCUUCGGGCCUCUUGCCAUCGGAUGUGCCCACAUGGGAUUAGCUAGUAGGUGGGGUAACGGCUCACCUAGGCGACGAUCCCUAGCUGGUCUGAGAGGAUGACCAGCCACACUGGAACUGAGACACGGUCCAGACUCCUACGGGAGGCAGCAGUGGGGAAUAUUGCACAAUGGGCGCAAGCCUGAUGCAGCCAUGCCGCGUGUAUGAAGAAGGCCUUCGGGUUGUAAAGUACUUUCAGCGGGGAGGAAGGGAGUAAAGUUAAUACCUUUGCUCAUUGACGUUACCCGCAGAAGAAGCACCGGCUAACUCCGUG
Molecule: ribosomal RNA, 490 nt
Filed under: uncultured bacterium
Lineage: Bacteria
Description: partial 16S ribosomal RNA
Rfam family: Bacterial small subunit ribosomal RNA
Source: RNAcentral